This 321-nucleotide long non-coding RNA is filed under the name Ananas comosus (pineapple). RNAcentral's name for it is "long non-coding RNA (ACOM_LNC035000)". The record is from RNAcentral. Lineage: Eukaryota; Viridiplantae; Streptophyta; Magnoliopsida; Poales; Bromeliaceae.
CUCUAGGAUGGUGAACCAUAAGGUUAUAGGUGCAUGAGUGUGACGUGAACCGAUGACGUAAUGAAAGUUGAUAGAUUGGGUCGAAGUGGAUGUUGAUGCUCUAGUAGUUUCUAGAGGUGAAUUGAGUGAUACUAGUCCUUGGCUUAAGGCGGUUGUAUUGGCGGCCGACAACACAAUGCCGAGAGUCGAGAACGGGUACACUUAUGAGCUUCCGUCUGAUUAACGUAGUGGAAUUAUAUCGUUUCGUAAUUGCGAAGACGUUGUUGGGUUAAGUGAUUAACCGAUUGUUUGCAUUUCAGGAGCUUAUGGCACUGAAGAGAC